This 749-nucleotide long non-coding RNA is filed under the name Homo sapiens (human). RNAcentral describes it as "HSALNT0304235". Lineage: Eukaryota; Metazoa; Chordata; Mammalia; Primates; Hominidae. The record is from RNAcentral.
GCAAUGCUCAUCACACUGCAUAGUAAUUGCUCAAUUGAUUGCUUUUCUUCCCACGGGCUGGAUUGUACCAGUGUCCUUUACUGCAGUGACUGAACAUUCUAGGCAUAGUGGAUUCAAGAAAUCUUGAGUUCAUUGGCUGGUCCACCCGUGGCUCCAAAAUGGUCUCCUGGUCCGUGAUAGCAAAGAUCCAGGAAAUAUGGUGCGAGGAAGAUGAGAGGAAGAUGGUGCGAGAGUUCUUGGCCGAGUUCAUGAGCACAUAUGUCAUGAUGAUAAGAUCUAAGGCACAUGAGAUGAUAUGCUUUCUGUUUGAGUUUCUCCUUUAUGUUACGCAUACUGAUAAAACUGUUGAUGCCAGUUGAUCUGAAGGUCCCAGCAAGGAGCCGACUCACGGAAGAAUGCAGUUUUCACAUCGUGAUGAUUUAAUCUUCCUUGACCUGACCAAUUGACAACCCCAAUUCUCCAGACCCUCACCCGCCACAAUCCCCUUAAAAACCCUGGCCCAGAACCCCUCAAGCAGACAGAUUUGAAGCUUGAGGAUUCCUUCAUCUCUUUGCCCAAUGGCAUUGUGAUUAUUAAACUCUUUUUCUGCUGCAAAUUAUGAUGUCUCAGUGUAUUGGUCUAUUGCUGCUCAGUGGGCAUAUGAAUCUGGCAGUCCUGUAAUAGAGACAAAAGAUAAACUACUGGCAAAACACUCGUAAAAGUCAUAACCUAAGACAUAGGCCCACUGAAAGGCGGAUAUUCAAUCAGAG